AUGACCUCUUUGGUAGCAUGGGAAUCAACACUAUAUAUGCAAGUGGAAGUUUCUUCACCACCCACACAACGCAUAUAUGGUGUGAACUGUAGGUUUGGCUCAAUUACUUACUCAUGGAUACCUAAUACGUUGAGCGUGCUAUCAAACACCACCUUCCUAUUUGUCGGUCUCGCGUGGCUCAUCCUUUGCCACUACACAAACUACUUCAGGCUAUGCUCAGAGGGGGAGCGCUUGAGUUGGACACUGCUUUGCUGGUGUCACUUCUGGCGUGUUGGUUCAUCCUACUACCAUCUCUACGCGAACGAUGCCACCUUUGUUUGGGACAAAUUGCCUGUGACGCUAACAUAUGGGCUUGUUUGUCUAGAUGACGUUGCUUUCACGUCUAUCGUGGCCAUUUUCAGCAUUAAAAGGGUUGAUGAUAGGUCAGGAACAAAGUCCCUUGCACCCCUUGUUAUUGCUGGUGCACUGAGCAUCAUGUACUGGAGGCACGAUCUUUUGAUUGUUUAUCUUUUCUUUGAUGAUCUUCGGCCAUAUGCGGUAAUCCAGUUCAUGCCAUGCAUUGUAAUACUUGUGAUGACUAUAGUUAUUCCACCAAUUGGAUAUACUCUUAAGCAUCUAUGUGCUGCGAUGCUACCUGUUUUCUUUACUCUUAUGUUGGCAAAGAGGAGAAUUGAAGCUGACAGGUAUACAUCAGCUUACUCAAUGCUUCAGGUUUCUUACUCUUUCAAAACAUGGAGUUCAGGUUUUUAG
RNAcentral lists this ribosomal RNA (750 nucleotides) under Triticum aestivum (bread wheat). Its description in RNAcentral is "partial small subunit ribosomal RNA". Lineage: Eukaryota; Viridiplantae; Streptophyta; Magnoliopsida; Poales; Poaceae. The record is from RNAcentral.